RNAcentral lists this ribosomal RNA (253 nucleotides) under uncultured bacterium. RNAcentral's name for it is "partial 16S ribosomal RNA". It matches the Rfam family "Bacterial small subunit ribosomal RNA", at positions 524 to 776 of the family's 1533-position model. The record is from RNAcentral.
UACGUAGGGUGCAAGCGUUAAUCGGAAUUACUGGGCGUAAAGCGUGCGCAGGCGGUUUUGUAAGUCUGAUGUGAAAUCCCCGGGCUCAACCUGGGAAUUGCAUUGGAGACUGCAAGGCUAGAAUCUGGCAGAGGGGGGAAGAAUUCCACGUGUAGCAGUGAAAUGCGUAGAGAUGUGGAGGAACACCGAUGGCGAAGGCAGCCCCCUGGGUCAAGAUUGACGCUCAUGUACGAAAGCGUGGGGAGCAAACAGG